GGGGACAGCCGUACCACCAUGAACGUGCCCAAUCUCUGAAGCUAAGCGGGUCAGGCCUGGUUAGUACUAAGAUGGGAUUUUGCCUGGGAAUACUGGGUGCUGUAGGCU
This 108-nucleotide ribosomal RNA is filed under the name Nannospalax galili (Upper Galilee mountains blind mole rat). The record is from RNAcentral. Lineage: Eukaryota; Metazoa; Chordata; Mammalia; Rodentia; Spalacidae.